GACGAACGCUGGCGGCGUGCUUAACACAUGCAAGUCGAACGGAAAGGCCCUGCUUUUGUGGGGUGCUCGAGUGGCGAACGGGUGAGUAACACGUGAGUAACCUGCCCUUGACUUUGGGAUAACUUCAGGAAACUGGGGCUAAUACCGGAUAGGAGCUCCUGCUGCAUGGUGGGGGUUGGAAAGUUUCGGCGGUUGGGGAUGGACUCGCGGCUUAUCAGCUUGUUGGUGGGGUAGUGGCUUACCAAGGCUUUGACGGGUAGCCGGCCUGAGAGGGUGACCGGCCACAUUGGGACUGAGAUACGGCCCAAACUCCUACGGGAGGCAGCAGUGGGGAAUAUUGCACAAUGGGCGGAAGCCUGAUGCAGCAACGCCGCGUGCGGGAUGACGGCCUUCGGGUUGUAAACCGCUUUCGCCUGUGACGAAGCGUGAGUGACGGUAAUGGGUAAAGAAGCACCGGCUAACUACGUGCCAGCAGCCGCGGUGAUACGUAGGGUGCGAGCGUUGUCCGGAUUUAUUGGGCGUAAAGGGCUCGUAGGUGGUUGAUCGCGUCGGAAGUGUAAUCUUGGGGCUUAACCCUGAGCGUGCUUUCGAUACGGGUUGACUUGAGGAAGGUAGGGGAGAAUGGAAUUCCUGGUGGAGCGGUGGAAUGCGCAGAUAUCAGGAGGAACACCAGUGGCGAAGGCGGUUCUCUGGGCCUUUCCUGACGCUGAGGAGCGAAAGCGUGGGGAGCGAACAGGCUUAGAUACCCUGGUAGUCCACGCUGUAAACGGUGGGUACUAGGUGUGGGGUCCAUUCCACGGGUUCCGUGCCGUAGCUAACGCUUUAAGUACCCCGCCUGGGGAGUACGGCCGCAAGGCUAAAACUCAAAGGAAUUGACGGGGCCUCGCACAAGCGGCGGAGCAUGCGGAUUAAUUCGAUGCAACGCGUAGAACCUUACCUGGGUUUGACAUGGAUCGGGAGUGCUCAGAGAUGGGUGUGCCUCUUUUGGGGUCGGUUCACAGGUGGUGCAUGGCUGUCGUCAGCUCGUGUCGUGAGAUGUUGGGUUAAGUCCCGCAACGAGCGCAACCCUUGUUCACUGUUGCCAGCACGUUAUGGUGGGGACUCAGUGGAGACCGCCGGGGUCAACUCGGAGGAAGGUGGGGAUGACGUCAAGUCAUCAUGCCCCUUAUGUCCAGGGCUUCACGCAUGCUACAAUGGCUGGUACAGAGAGUGGCGAGCCUGUGAGGGUGAGCGAAUCUCGGAAAGCCGGUCUCAGUUCGGAUUGGGGUCUGCAACUCGACCUCAUGAAGUCGGAGUCGCUAGUAAUCGCAGAUCAGCAACGCUGCGGUGAAUACGUUCCCGGG
This 1343-nucleotide ribosomal RNA is filed under the name uncultured bacterium. Its description in RNAcentral is "16S ribosomal RNA". It matches the Rfam family "Bacterial small subunit ribosomal RNA", at positions 28 to 1378 of the family's 1533-position model. The record is from RNAcentral.